RNAcentral lists this ribosomal RNA (317 nucleotides) under uncultured bacterium. RNAcentral's name for it is "partial 16S ribosomal RNA". It matches the Rfam family "Bacterial small subunit ribosomal RNA", at positions 355 to 664 of the family's 1533-position model. The record is from RNAcentral.
UAGGGAAUCUUCCACAAUGGACGCAAGUCUGAUGGAGCAACGCCGCGUGAGUGAAGAAGGUUUUCGGACCGUAAAGCUCUGUUGUUGGUGAAGAAGGAUAGAGGUAGUAACUGGCCUUUAUUUGACGGUAAUCAACCAGAAAGUCACGGCUAACUACGUGCCAGCAGCCGCGGUAAUACGUAGGUGGCAAGCGUUGUCCGGAUUUAUUGGGCGUAAAGCGAGCGCAGGCGGAAGAAUAAGUCUGAUGUGAAAGCCCUCGGCUUAACCGAGGAAUUGCAUCGGAAACUGUUUUUCUUGAGUGCAGAAGAGGAGAGUAG